Molecule: long non-coding RNA, 235 nt
Filed under: Elaeis guineensis (African oil palm)
Lineage: Eukaryota; Viridiplantae; Streptophyta; Magnoliopsida; Arecales; Arecaceae
Description: long non-coding RNA (EGUI_LNC008498)
Source: RNAcentral
CCACUGUAUUUUUAUAAGAUGAAAAAAAAUCUACAUGCUGAAAUCAUCCAACUCUAUGAUUUAUAAAGGUGGUAAUGUUACAUAACUAAUUUUUUGCAAAGAAAAAAAGAUGAGGGAAUAGAAGCUUCAAGGGUUAGCCAAGUGUAUGUCCAUAAGGUAGUUUAUUUUCUAUCGUCCACUUUUAUUGUAAUAAAGGCUUGAAAAUGUCUAAAAUACCUGAGGAUCCCCUUCUAAA